AGCUCGUAGUUGGAGUUCUGUUGCGGAAAACUGGUCCGUCUAUCGGGCGGUAUUUAGAUUUUGCGUUUCAUCUUCUGAAAAGCUUGCUGUGCUUGAUUGCAUGGUGAGGGAAUCAGGACAUUUACUUUGAGGAAUUUAGAGUGUUUCAAGCAGGUUUGUGCUGAAAUAGCCUAGCAUGGAAUAAUAACAUGGGGUCUUGGUCUUGUUUGUUGGUUUCUAGGCUGAGGAAACAAUCAAUAGGGAUAGCUGGGGGCAUUUGUACUUAACUGUCAGAGGUGAAAUUCUUGGAUUUGUUAAAGACAAACUACUGCGAAAGCAUUUGUCAAGGAUGUUUUCAUUGAUCAAGAACGAAAGUUAAGGGAUCGAAGACGAUCAGAUACCGUCCUAGUCUUAACCAUAAACAAUGCCAUCUAGAGAUUGGAGGUAGUGCCAAGGAUUACUUCUUCAGCAUCAUUUGAGAAAUCAAAGCUUUUGGGUUCCGGGGGGAGUAUGGUCGCAAGGCUGAAACUUAAAGGAAUUGACGGAAGGGCACCACCAGGAGUGGAGCCUGCGGCUUAAUUUGACUCAACACGGGAAACUCACCAGAACCAGACAUAAACAGGAUUGACAGAUUGAUAGCUCUUUCUUGAUUUUAUGGGUGGUGGUGCAUGGCCGUUCUUAGUUGGUGGAGUGAUCUGUCUGGUUAAUUCCGUUAACGAACGAGACCUUGUCUUACUAAAUAGUUACAUGUAACUUUGGUUACAUGGGCAGCUUCUUAGGGGGAC
Molecule: ribosomal RNA, 764 nt
Filed under: uncultured dinoflagellate
Lineage: Eukaryota; Dinophyceae
Description: SSU rRNA
Rfam family: Eukaryotic small subunit ribosomal RNA
Source: RNAcentral